RNAcentral lists this unclassified non-coding RNA (339 nucleotides) under soil metagenome. RNAcentral's name for it is "partial contains 5.8S ribosomal RNA, internal transcribed spacer 2, and large subunit ribosomal RNA". The stretch from base 1 to 120 matches the Rfam family "5.8S ribosomal RNA", at positions 35 to 154 of the family's 154-position model. The record is from RNAcentral.
GAUGAAGAACGUAGCGAAAUGCGAUAAGUAAUGCGAAUUGCAGAAUUCCGUGAGUCAUCGAAUCUUUGAACGCACAUUGCGCCCUCUGGUAUUCCGGAGGGCAUGCCUGUCUGAGCGUCAUUGUCAACCCUCAAGCUCAGCUUGCUGUUGGGUCCCCGUCGUUGCUUUAACGGCGGACCCGAAAGGUAAUGGCAGAGUCCGUGAGACCCUAGACGCAGCGAGCUUCUAGCACGCGUCUGGACGUUUUUCGGGCUCGGUCUUAACUAGAUGAUAACUUCCGAUUGACCUCAGAUCAGGUAAGGAUACCCGCUGAACUUAAGCAUAUCAAUAAGCGGAGGA